Molecule: long non-coding RNA, 2679 nt
Organism: Dermacentor silvarum
Lineage: Eukaryota; Metazoa; Arthropoda; Arachnida; Ixodida; Ixodidae
Exons: 3
Source: RefSeq, a predicted model, not a curated record
AAAGUUCGGUUUGAAAUAGGUCGGCAAUUUUUUUUUUUUUUUGUUUAAGCAAAGCAUGUGACGGAGUGAGAUAGGAUUCGACGCCACCGCGAACACAGUGACGCUGUUAGUCUUGUUUCUUGUCGUUCUCUGAUAGAAAAUUUCCAGUUUUACUUUGUACAAUAGACCAUUGUCUCCGUUCGCGCUACUGGAAAUUCAGCGCUUGUCUAAGUGUAGACCGAUCUCAGAAGUGUGUUGUGCGAACCUUCAGGCUCGGUUAGACUAACAGAUAGUUGUAGUAUACUGGGAUAGUUGAUUUGUUAUUGUCCUCGUGGUAGAUUAUUUGCGUAAACAAAUAAACGGUUAGGGCGGGUCACUGACAAAUGACAACAGUCGGGUCAUGCUGAAACCAUCGGUGCACCUCUCACCCACAUUCGAAUGAUCAGACGGCACCGAGGCACGGAUGAGUGCGCCCUACUCACAGAAUGCACAUUGCCGCCGGGACAUCGGUUAGAAUCCCAGCAGCAGCGGCAAAGUUUAGUUUUUCUGCGUACUGUGUCGACCAUGCAAGUUGGGAUGAGAUGGUCAGACGACAGCGACGCUAUGACUUCGACUACCUUAGAAAGGCGAAGAUGGCCGUCGUCGAUGUAACAGAAAGCACGGAAUGACUUACAUUGCGAAGCCCGUUUUGAUUGCUUAACUCUUAUCACAGUUUAAUAGCAGACCUGUGCCUUGUCUGCAGAAUAGUCGGAACCGCUCUGCCACCGCUUGCGCGAAUCGCUGUCGACUGGUACACUCUUCGUAGCGUCAUUAAUUGCCCCUAUUCCUGUUUGCCCUUAUGUCGCACGUACUUACUUCACGUUUACUUCUAAUCGAAUAUCCAGAAGGCACGCAUUACUCUGUUGAGGAGAUAUUUGAGAAAUUAGUUUCUAAAGAAGCUGUGAUUGUUGCCGGUGACCACCCAGCUUGAUACCUGCAAAGAUGUUUUAUAGAUGAACAGUUCUUGUUACCUAUAAUCAGCCAUAUUAAAGAAGGGCUGUUUAUUGUUCGGUGACUUCUGUAGGCAUGGGACUUGAGUGUUUGUUUUCGCAUGCCGUUGCUCAAUACGUUUCGCUGGCCCAAUUGGGGACUGUGGUAGAACAAAUGUUUGUGUUAAGGCAGCCUAAUUGGCGCACGAACUACAAAUUUGAAACGGUCAUGACAUAAACCACGAAAACUAAGCGUACGACACAGCGUUGUAAAUUCGUCUUCUGUUCAAUACCUGUUUUAGUAGGGCCAUUUUCGUGCCGCUCUGUUUGCACAGGCAGUAUCAAACGAGUGCCCUCAAUUUCGCCCUUCCUAUUUCGCCGAAUUUGGCCCACAGCUAAUCAACUGAAGUUAGCAGCCGAUGAAAAAAUUCGCCCUAAUUUAGUUGGGGAAGAUCACGUACACUACAGUUUUGUAGCAGCAUAUGAAAUCUUCCACUGUACCAUUCCUGAUAUUGUGGUGCGCAGUUUCUUUUUGUUAUGAUAGCAAUUACAGGGGAAGUCCAGACACGUUUCCGCCGUUAUAGUUACCGUGAUGUUCCACAUAACGUCCUUGCUAGCAGUGUCCAUGCUUGUGCAUACUUUUUCUAAAGCCAAGUGCUCCUGAGCGAGAAGUUGUGAGACUAUAAAAUUGUGCGCCUUUCUCAGUCAGUACCCUCGUUUACCAAACUUUCAGAGAAGGAAGGUAUAGGAUGAUGCGGCUGUUACAAAAUAAGAUGGCUGCGACAGUUUUCACAAAUCUUCCUGUUCGCUACCACUGCCCACAUUUGGGGACUGGUUUUCUAAAGCCAAAUACGCGUCAGUGAAACGUUCUGAGGCAUCCAAAUCACGUGAGCUUGUCAGCCUUCACCAUGCACGGAAAAAAAUAGUUGUAAACACAAAGAACAUAUACAAAAAUGUUCUGUACCACAAAAUAAAUUAUCUGUGAAUGCGCUAUAACAAAAACCUGCGAAUAGAAGAACUCAGAAAUUUUCUGUUCUUCUCCACCUCUAGCCUAUAAAUCGAGUCAAAAUUAAACGUUAACUGUUUUAAAUUAUCGUAAACGCAUAAAAACUAAUAAGUAACAUUUUAGAGCUUUCUUGCUAUCACACAAGGUGUUUUUUGACUACAUUAUACACGACGCGCUGUCUGCGGUACUGCUUUGAUGGCCCAUGCUAUAUUCAAGAUGGAUGCCCUUCGAUUGAACGCAUGACUUUACUGCUCCGUUUCUUCUUUCGCCGAAUUUAAGAAGUCAGCUGCAGCGUGACACCCUGGGAGAGGAACCAAGGUCCAGCGUUCAAGCAAGCAGCAUGGCCUCGCAGCAAAAGUUGUCUCCAUUAUCAGGUGCCUUCAAGGUUGAGCUUUAACGCAAACGUCUUCAUCAACGUAAUGCCGAGGGCACUUCGAGUAAUUGUUCAGCAUCAUAAUGGCCUCCUUUGUAACCGCUAUCUCUUGUACAGUAUUAAGAAGUUCGCUGUUUCUGUUUUGCAUGUGGCUUAUUCCAUCAUCAGUUUUUCUUGCUUUACAAUAAAGCACUUUUCUAUUUUCAUAUGAUACUAACUGUACCCUGGCUCUUCUUUGCUGCACCAUAUACCACAGUGUUAUAGUUGCCACCGGCUCUUUUUCAAGCGUGGCUCGAUGAAAUAUAUGGUUCCUUGGUUUAUAGAAAAAAAGAAAAGAAGUGUUAAAAUGAGAU